Oncorhynchus mykiss (rainbow trout) is the source of this 1002-nucleotide non-coding RNA. The record is from RefSeq and is a predicted model, not a curated record. Lineage: Eukaryota; Metazoa; Chordata; Actinopteri; Salmoniformes; Salmonidae.
ACCGUACACACACAGCAGGGUAGGAACACACACCGUACACACACCAUACAUACACACACACACACCAUACAUACACACACACCUUCAGCCUCUCUCAAGUCAUUGGUAAAGAGGUGAAGGACCAUCAGCCUCUCUCAAGUCAUUGGUAAAGAGGUGAAGGACCAUCAGCCUCUCUCAAGUCAUUGGUAAAGAGGUGAAGGACCGUCAGCCUCUCUCAAGUCAUUGGUAAAGAGGUGAAGGACCGUCAGCCUCUCUCAAGUCAUUGGUAAAGAGGUGAAGGACCAUCAGCCUCUCUCAAGUCAUUGGUAAAGAGGUGAAGGACCAUCAGCCUCUCUCAAGUCAUUGGUAAAGAGGUGAAGGACCAUCAGCCUCUCUCAAGUCAUUGGUAAAGAGGUGAAGGACCAUCAGCCUCUCUCAAGUCAUUGGUAAAGAGGUGAAGGACCAUCAGCCUCUCUCAAGUCAUUGGUAAAGAGGUGAAGGACCAUCAGCCUCUCUCAAGUCAUUGGUAAAGAGGUGAAGGACCAUCAGCCUCUCUCAAGUCAUUGGUAAAGAGGUGAAGGACCAUCAGCCUCUCUCAAGUCAUUGGUAAAGAGGUGAAGGACCAUCAGCCUCCAUCUAUACACAAUGUUUCACUAAAUGUUUUGUUUACAUUACAUUUUUAUUUUUAAAAUAAACAACCGUUUUUUUUUUUAAAUCAAUCUGUCCAUUGACUUCAGUUAACUAGCUAACUGGCUAAAUCUGGCACACAAACUGCAAUGUUGAUUGAUAUUCAAAUGAAAAAAAAUGUAAUUUGUGCUACAAGGGUAGGCAACCCUGGUGGGUUGGAUUUAGCCAAUCACAGGGCUAUAGAUAUAUUUUAUUAGUUCCUGUUGUAUUCCAGGAACAGGGUUACCUUCCCCUGUACAGAAGAGAAUGUGAGGUAUUAUAAAAUAAUACCAGUUUUAUUUUUUAUAUUUUUUUCAUACUGUAAAUAAAAACCCUUUAUUUUAAUUCUUUACUAAA